UCCCUGGUGGCUGAAAUAUUAAAGAAUCUGCCUGCAGUGCAGGAGACCUGGGUUUGAUCCCUGGGCCUGGGAG
This is a non-coding RNA of Ovis aries (sheep), 73 nucleotides long. The record is from Rfam. Lineage: Eukaryota; Metazoa; Chordata; Mammalia; Artiodactyla; Bovidae.